Molecule: ribosomal RNA, 739 nt
Filed under: Shewanella sp.
Lineage: Bacteria; Pseudomonadati; Pseudomonadota; Gammaproteobacteria; Alteromonadales; Shewanellaceae
Description: bacterial SSU rRNA
Rfam family: Bacterial small subunit ribosomal RNA
Source: RNAcentral
AGUCGAGCGGUAACAGAAGUACUUGCGUACUUUGCUGACGAGCGGCGGACGGGUGAGUAAUGCCUGGGAAUUUGCCCAUUCGAGGGGGAUAACAGUUGGAAACGACUGCUAAUACCGCAUACGCCCUACGGGGGAAAGGAGGGGACCUUCGGGCCUUCCGCGAAUGGAUAAGCCCAGGUGGGAUUAGCUAGUAGGUGAGGUAAUGGCUCACCUAGGCGACGAUCCCUAGCUGUUCUGAGAGGAUGAUCAGCCACACUGGGACUGAGACACGGCCCACACUCCUACGGGAGGCAGCAGUGGGGAAUAUUGCACAAUGGGCGAAAGCCUGAUGCAGCCAUGCCGCGUGUGUGAAGAAGGCCUUCGGGUUGUAAAGCACUUUCAGCGAGGAGGAAAGGUUACUGGCUAAUAUCCCGUAGCUGUGACGUUACUCGCAAAAAAAGCACCGGCUAACUCCGUGCCAGCAGCCGCGGUAAUACGGAGGGUGCGAGCGUUAAUCGGAAUUACUGGGCGUAAAGCGUGCGCGGGCGGUUUGUUAAGCGAGAUGUGAAAGCCCCGGGCUCAACCUGGGAACUGCAUUUUGAACUGGCAAACUAGAGUCUUGUAGAGGGGGGUAGAAUUCCAGGUGUAGCGGUGAAAUGCGUAGAGAUCUGGAGGAAUACCGGUGGCGAAGGCGGCCCCCUGUACAAAGACUGACGCUCAUGCACGAAAGCGUGUGGAGCAAACAGGAUUAUAUACCCUG